AUUUUCAUAGAUGACCAGCAGGGGCAAAUAAUAAUCACAGUGGUUGUCGAGGGUGCAACAGGUCAGCACCUCAGCAGUAAAUGUCAGGUGGCUUUUCAUAGCUGAUCAUUAAGAGUAUCUCUACCGCCAUUACGACAACCUCUUUUACGAGUUGAUUGGGUAGCUGGGUGAACGGAAUCAGGUGCAGCUUGUAUAAUUAGUACAGCUCAUCGGUUCUUUAAAAAAAAAUAUCCAAAACGUGGUCAAUGGCCCAACCCUCUUCAAUUCCCUAUUUAAUUCCCAUCACGCCUGCCAUACUGGUUCCUAGAUAGUUAUAUUCGUUUUGCGAGUACGUAAAAUCUGUUCAUUGCCUGCCUCCCCCCCCAAUUUUAGCGUAAUAAUUUAAAGAGCUUAGUGUUCUUAAAGCCUUUGUGUGCUUAGACAUACUUUCAAAAGCCUUUGAAAAUUCAGUCAAACAAAUAUACAUGGUAAACUGUAGAAAAUACCAACACUGAUUGAUGAGAUGAGGAAGUGGAACUGAAUUGUGUAGGAAAUGUCCUUCUCUUCACCCUGCGUUUUGUUUAAUUCUCCUACAGAUAUGGAAACAACCGCGUCUACAGCACAGCAUGCAUUUGGAGCGGGCCCUCGUGGGCCCAACCCAGCCCAUGGACCUCAACCGGGCCAGGGCCCCCGACACCCAGGUCAUCCUGGACCUUACGGAGUUCCACGUCCCGAGGACCAGCCCCCACACCAGCAACAGCCCCAUCACCACAUCCAGCACAGCAGACCAUUCUUCUACAUACACCCUUCCCAGCCAUACCCUUCCCAGCCAUUUCCUUCCCAGCCAUUUCCUUCCCAGCCAUUUCCUUCCCAGCCAUUUCCUUCCCAGCCAUUUCCUUCCCAGCCAUUUCCUUCCCAGCCAUUUCCUUCCCAGCCAUUUCCUUCCCAGCCAUUUCCUUCCCAGCCAUUUCCUUCCCAGCCAUUUCCUUCCCAGCCAUUCCCUUCCCAGCCAUUCCCCUCUGCUCUACCCUAUCAGUGGCCCAUGCCAUACAACCCUUACUGCGGCUUCCCUGGGAUGGGAGGUUAUGGUAUGAUGAUACCGAGUCCCUUCCAGCCCAGUCCCUACAUGGAGCCUCCAGGUUACAUCCUGCCACACUCUCAGCUCCACCUGGCGGACUACAGGCGUAUGAUCAACCCCCACUACCACACUACCCACUACCCACAGACCAUGGCUUACCAUGCACGCAGGUUCCGCUACCAGCACAAUGCCCCAGCCACCAGCAGGGAGAUGAUCAACUCUGAGGUACAGACUGAGCCCACAUUAGGAGCAGCACGCUCUGACCCCAAACUCUCUAACGCUGACUCGUCUAUGAAAAGUAAUGUCCAAACCAACUCUGAAUCUGGCAGCGACACCAGUUGCACAGCUGCCCAGUCACUAUCCCCAGCCUCUGCUGUGCAGGAGGUGAUGUCUAAAUCACCAGCUUACCAGGAUGUUGUAUUGGCACCCACCCCCAACAACACUCCUAUUUCCACCAGGUCUGCUGCACCCCAGAAGGGUAGCUUUGUGUUCCAGACAGAGGUGGAGGAAUUGAGGCUGGAGUGCCGCAGCACGCCCACAGGAUUAAAUAUCCUCCACUCCCAUGAGACAUCUGAACUGUGCACCGCCCACAGCGUGUCUGCGACCGAUGAAGACUUGGUACAGCUCUGCUCUUCCUCCUCCCUCCACCACAAGGUCUCACAGGGCACGAUGCUCCAUGGCCAGGAGGGGAUGGGUUUGGUUGGGGAGGAGGGGGAUCAGUGUCUCCAGCAAGCCUGCACGGAUAUACUUCUAAUGGAUGGGGCAUGCUCGAGUGGCGGACCAGAUAACUUCCUUGCUCUUGACGAUUGUGACUCAUUCAUCGCUAAAACACUGGCCGAACGACCAGGGAAUUCUGAAUCCGAUAUGGACUACAGAGUGGUGGUCCAAAGCCACACCGCAGAUGGUCCUCAAUUUACAAGUGAUGAAGGAGAACUGAGCUCCAAGAGUGUCUAUUUUAAGAUCCUCCACCUGCCCUUUGACAUGCAGUACUUAGAAGAGCUGAGGAAGAUUGAGGCGUCUGUGUGGUCGGCGUCUCUGGCACCGUACGUCCCCUCAGCAGAGUUUAUGAUCCAGCAGGGCCUGAUGGAGCCACACAGGGAGGCACUGAGCCCUGUGGUCAUGGAGGAAGUCCCCAUGGUGGAGGAAGUCCCCACGGCAGAGGUGGUCCCCAUGGUGGAGGUUGAGGUCCCUGGGGCGGAGAAGGUCCCCACAGCUGAGGUGGUCUCUCUAGUGGAGGGAAUCCCCAUUGCGGAGAGCCCUUCGAAUGAAAAUGUUUUAUUGGCAGAGAUGGUCCUCAAUGUGAUGGAGGUACCUGUAAUAUCCAGUCCUAACAAAACAGACAAUGCGCCCAUGUCUCCAGAGACCAGUCAAAAGAGGGGUGCGGUGAGUGACCUUGAUCAUCAGGAUACCUCCUUUGGGGGGUUACCCACGUACCGUCCCUCAACUAGCUGGCUGGGCGACUUUGGCAACGUCUACUAUCACAGCAAGAUGCCUUCUGAUGUUGAGGCGCAGCGCAAGAUCCUCAGAGGCAGCCCACUUAAGGUGUCUAGCCCCAAACGGAAACCAAACCAUGACCAAGAGCCUAAAGAUCCUCAUUGUGUUUCAGUCACUACAACCGCUCCACUCAGGCUUAAGGGAGAGGGAUGCAGACCCGGAGACAAGGUUGACAGGAGGAGCUACUCUGAUCAAGAGUUCUGUGCGAACCGGACCUUCAAUGUGACCUCUGGUGGCCACAAAAGGGAGCGCAUCUGUGCCAGAUGUUUGACGACAAAAUGCAGAGUAAACAAGAGACCUGGCAGUCCAGGUCCAGGCCUGGAUGCUCCGAUUGUAAAACGACAAGGGGUCCCCGUUCCACCAUGGGAGGAAUAUAUCCUAGCCCAGACUUGUGCAGCCUGCAAAUGCCUUGCCCGGAGGCGGGUAACGAGGAAAGGUUCCGGUUCAGAUGUUCCCAGCGGACCACAAAACGAAGAGACGGAGGGUGAGACCUCUGAGAACAGUUCUUGUCGGGCAGGACCGGGGCCCAAACUGAGGGACCCCAGGAGGCCUCAGUCCUCCAUGAAGCGCCACUCUGAGAAGUGUCCCAUGGGUCCACACUCAAAACUGAGGGAGAAGAACUGUUCCUGUGAAGAGCCCCAUCGGCCCCCCGCUGCUGUGUUGGGGGGGCCACGCCGCCAUCCCCAUGGCGAUGUCACCAGGGAGCGAAAUGAGGAGAACCUUGGCGUGUGCGUCUCUGUCCCACUUCAGGACAAAUGGAGAAACCAACACCAGGACCAAUGCUACCUCGCGGCACAGAAAUCUCAACAAGAGAAGUUGUGGAAAGCGGCUUUGGCCAACCCUGACAACACUGAAAGUAAUAUUAAGCUCGGACCCAGAGACUUGAUUAAACAGAAGAAACAGGUUUCUCAAUCACAAGGACUUCACAGAAAAGACACAAGAUGCUAA
Molecule: long non-coding RNA, 3499 nt
Filed under: Oncorhynchus kisutch (coho salmon)
Lineage: Eukaryota; Metazoa; Chordata; Actinopteri; Salmoniformes; Salmonidae
Description: lncRNA (ENSOKIG00005012788.1)
Source: RNAcentral